This is a non-coding RNA of Hymenopellis radicata, 97 nucleotides long. NCBI's taxonomy places the organism in Eukaryota, Fungi, Basidiomycota, Agaricomycetes, Agaricales, Physalacriaceae. The record is from the annotation of a GenBank genome assembly.
UGCCCCGUGGCUGAGUUGGUUACAGCGUCCGACUGUUAUGAAUCUUUCAUCGCAAUUUACAAUCGGAAGGUCGAGAGUUCGAGCCUCUCCGGGGCAG